UACGAAGGGGGCUAGCGUUGCUCGGAAUUACUGGGCGUAAAGCGCACGUAGGCGGAUUGUUAAGUCGGGGGUGAAAUCCUGGAGCUCAACUCCAGAACUGCCUUCGAUACUGGCGAUCUAGAGUCCGGGAGAGGUGAGUGGAACCGCGAGUGUAGAGGUGAAAUUCGUAGAUAUUCGCAAGAACACCAGUGGCGAAGGCGGCUCACUGGCCCGGUACUGACGCUGAGGUGCGAAAGCGUGGGGAGCAAACAGG
RNAcentral lists this ribosomal RNA (253 nucleotides) under uncultured bacterium. RNAcentral describes it as "partial 16S ribosomal RNA". It matches the Rfam family "Bacterial small subunit ribosomal RNA", at positions 524 to 776 of the family's 1533-position model. The record is from RNAcentral.